This 17-nucleotide transfer RNA is filed under the name Coffea pseudozanguebariae. RNAcentral describes it as "partial tRNA-Phe". RNAcentral also lists the same sequence under 2 other names. The record is from RNAcentral. Lineage: Eukaryota; Viridiplantae; Streptophyta; Magnoliopsida; Gentianales; Rubiaceae.
GGAUAGCUCAGAUGGUA